RNAcentral lists this ribosomal RNA (263 nucleotides) under uncultured bacterium. RNAcentral's name for it is "partial 16S ribosomal RNA". It matches the Rfam family "Bacterial small subunit ribosomal RNA", at positions 524 to 786 of the family's 1533-position model. The record is from RNAcentral.
UACGUAGGUGGCAAGCGUUGUCCGGAAUUACUGGGUGUAAAGGGCGUGUAGGCGGGAAGGCAAGUCAGAUGUGAAAGCCCAUGGCUUAACUGUGGAAUUGCAUCUGAAACUGUUUUUCUUGAGUGCUGGAGAGGAAAGUGGAAUUCCUAGUGUAGCGGUGAAAUGCGUAGAGAUUAGGAGGAACACCAGUGGCGAAGGCGGCUUUCUGGACAGUAACUGACGCUGAGGCGCGAAAGCGUGGGGAGCAAACAGGAUUAGAUACC